This 465-nucleotide ribosomal RNA is filed under the name Vreelandella stevensii. RNAcentral's name for it is "partial 16S ribosomal RNA". It matches the Rfam family "Bacterial small subunit ribosomal RNA", at positions 338 to 795 of the family's 1533-position model. Lineage: Bacteria; Pseudomonadati; Pseudomonadota; Gammaproteobacteria; Oceanospirillales; Halomonadaceae. The record is from RNAcentral.
UCUACGGGUGGCUGCAGUGGGGAAUAUUGGACAAUGGGCGAAAGCCUGAUCCAGCCAUGCCGCGUGUGUGAAGAAGGCCUUCGGGUUGUAAAGCACUUUCAGUGGGGAAGAAAGCCUUGGGGCUAAUACCCUCGAGGAAGGACAUCACCCACAGAAGAAGCACCGGCUAACUCCGUGCCAGCAGCCGCGGUAAUACGGAGGGUGCGAGCGUUAAUCGGAAUUACUGGGCGUAAAGCGCGCGUAGGCGGUCUGAUAAGCCGGUUGUGAAAGCCCCGGGCUCAACCUGGGAACGGCAUCCGGAACUGUCAGGCUAGAGUGCAGGAGAGGAAGGUAGAAUUCCCGGUGUAGCGGUGAAAUGCGUAGAGAUCGGGAGGAAUACCAGUGGCGAAGGCGGCCUUCUGGACUGACACUGACGCUGAGGUGCGAAAGCGUGGGUAGCAAACAGGAUUAGAUACCCGAGUAGUC